This 83-nucleotide small nucleolar RNA is filed under the name Vigna radiata var. radiata (mung bean). Its description in RNAcentral is "Small nucleolar RNA Z159/U59". It matches the Rfam family "Small nucleolar RNA Z159/U59". From Rfam's summary of the family: This family consists of several snoRNA Z159 or U59 sequences which are members of the C/D class of snoRNA which contain the C (UGAUGA) and D (CUGA) box motifs. This family seems to be found exclusively in rice. The record is from Rfam by way of RNAcentral. Lineage: Eukaryota; Viridiplantae; Streptophyta; Magnoliopsida; Fabales; Fabaceae.
GCAUCUGAGCAUGAUGAAAAAUGUAACUUUCGUUCUCUGGUAUUUUUAUGUCGAAAAUGUAUGGAGACCUGAACAAAAGAGGC